AGACAGCUAGGAUGUUGGCUUGGAAGCAGCCAUUCAUUUAAAGAGUGCGUAACAGCUCACUAGUCGAGGAGUCGGGCGUGGAUAAUAAUCGGGUAUUAAGUUGUCUACCGAAGCAGUGGGAUCAUUUAUAUGAUCGGUAGGGGAGCAUUCCAGUCGGCGUCGAAGGCGUACCGUGAGGUAUUCUGGAGCGUCUGGAAAAGCAAAUGUAGGUAUAAGUAACGAUAAAGGGGGCGGGAAACCCCCUCGCCGAAAGACUAAGGUUUCCUGAUCAACGCUAAUCGGAUCAGGGUAAGUCGGGUCCUAAGGCUCAGCCGAAGGGCGAUGCCGAUGGCAGAAACGGUUAAUAUUCCGUUACUACCUCCAGGAGUGAUGUGGAGACGCAGUAGUGACAAUGCCGCCAUCUGACGGAAUAGAUGGUUGAAGGGUGUAGAUGUUGAUCUUGGCAGGCAAAUCCACCAUGAGAAUCGAACCUGAUAGUAUGCCGCGUCCCUCGGGACAAGGCAAUAGUGCAUGUAAUCAUGCUGCCAAGAAAAUCCGCUAAACUAAAUCCUGUAGGUACCCGUACCGUAAACGGACACACGUAGUCGGGAUGAAUAUUCUAAGGCGCUUGAGUGAUUCACGGUUAAGGAACUAGGCAAACUGACCCUGUAACUUCGGGAUAAAGGGUCCCUACCCGGUGACGGGAGGGCGCAGAGAAUAGGUCCAGGCAACUGUUUAACAAAAACACAGGGCUGUGCGAAAUCGAAAGAUCCUGUAUACAGCCUGACACCUGCCCGGUGCUGGAAGGUUAAGAGGAGACGUCAUCGUUGAGAGAAGCGUUGAAUUGAAGCCCCAGUAAACGGCGGCCGUAACUAUAACGGUCCUAAGGUAGCGAAAUUCCUUGUCGGGUAAGUUCCGACCUGCACGAAUGGUGUAAUGAUCUGGACACUGUCUCAACCGUGAGCUCGGUGAAAUUGUAGUAUCGGUGAAGAUGCCGAUUACCCGCGAUGGGACGAAAAGACCCCGUGAACCUUUACUAUAGCUUAUCAUUGAAUCUGGGCACGUGAUGUGUAGGAUAGGUCGGAGGCUUUGAAGCAGGUACGCCAGUAUUUGUGGAGCCGCUGUUGAAAUACGACCCUUUAUUUGUUUGGAUUCUAACCCGUGGAUACGGGGACAUUGAUUGGUGGGUAGUUUGACUGGGGUGGUCGCCUCCAAAAGCGUAACGGAGGCUUCUA
RNAcentral lists this ribosomal RNA (1214 nucleotides) under human gut metagenome. Its description in RNAcentral is "bacterial LSU rRNA". It matches the Rfam family "Bacterial large subunit ribosomal RNA", at positions 1087 to 2312 of the family's 2925-position model. The record is from RNAcentral.